This 24-nucleotide non-coding RNA is filed under the name Cricetulus griseus (Chinese hamster). The record is from RNAcentral. Lineage: Eukaryota; Metazoa; Chordata; Mammalia; Rodentia; Cricetidae.
CCCCUGGAAGAAGAGGACUGCUUA